Spea bombifrons (plains spadefoot toad) is the source of this 428-nucleotide long non-coding RNA. RefSeq lists it as uncharacterized. The transcript has 3 exons. NCBI's taxonomy places the organism in Eukaryota, Metazoa, Chordata, Amphibia, Anura, Pelobatidae. The record is from RefSeq and is a predicted model, not a curated record.
GACAGACGACUUGACCAUAGAGAAAUAAACUCAUGCAUAUAGACCUGUAUCUCUCUGUACGUCAAGCCUGGAUUGGCCAUCUGGAAAACAGAGAAGAUGCCUGGUUGGCCGCCCUGGAUUGUACCUGCAGCUGGUAGGUUUCAUUGUCCCCACAGGUCCUGCUGGAGGAUCAGGGACAAGGUACAGAGCCUUUGAAGACGUGCCAGAGGUGACUGAAUUGUCCAAUGGGUGCAAAUUAUCACAGGACAAUUAAAGACUUUCUUAUCCGUCAGCCAACUUGGAAUGAAUGAUCUCGGUGAAAAUAGAAACAAACAGGAUUUUUCGUUUCCGACUUCGUUUUCCAGAUCUAGAUGUUUUACCCGAUAGGGUGCAUCAGAUCGGAGAUUGUAACACCCUUCAUUUACAAGGGCAAUUAAUAAUAAAUCACA